UAGGGAAUAUUGGACAAUGGGGGCAACCCUGAUCCAGCCAUGCCGCGUGAGUGAUGAAGGCCUUCGGGUUGUAAAGCUCUUUCGGUGGGGACGAUGAUGACGGUACCCACAGAAGAAGCCCCGGCUAACUUCGUGCCAGCAGCCGCGGUAAUACGAAGGGGGCUAGCGUUGUUCGGAUUUACUGGGCGUAAAGCGCACGCAGGCGGCGCCGUUAGUCAGAGGUGAAAUCCCUGGGCUUAACCUGGGAAUUGCCUUUGAUACUAUGGUGCUAGAGUCCAGAAGAGGAUGGCGGAAUACCCAGUGUAGAGGUGAAAUUCGUAGAUAUUGGGUAGAACACCGGUGGCGAAGGCGGCCAUCUGGUCUGGUACUGACGCUCAUGUGCGAAAGCGUGGGGAGCAAA
This 400-nucleotide ribosomal RNA is filed under the name uncultured bacterium. RNAcentral describes it as "bacterial SSU rRNA". It matches the Rfam family "Bacterial small subunit ribosomal RNA", at positions 355 to 772 of the family's 1533-position model. The record is from RNAcentral.